Molecule: ribosomal RNA, 253 nt
Filed under: uncultured bacterium
Lineage: Bacteria
Description: partial 16S ribosomal RNA
Rfam family: Bacterial small subunit ribosomal RNA
Source: RNAcentral
UACGGGGGGGGCAAGCGUUGUUCGGAAUUACUGGGCGUAAAGGGCUUGUAGGUGGCCAACUAAGUCAGACGUGAAAUCCCUCGGCUUAACCGGGGAACUGCGUCUGAUACUGGAUGGCUGGAGUGUGGGAGAGGGAUGCGGAAUUCCAGGUGUAGCGGUGAAAUGCGCAGAUAUCGGGAGGAACACCAAUGGCGAAGGCAGCUCGCUGGGACGGUACUGACGCUGAGACGCGAAAGCGUGGGGAGCAAACAGG